UGAUUUUGCUCAACUGAUGACUGAUGA
This 27-nucleotide non-coding RNA is filed under the name Rattus norvegicus (Norway rat). Lineage: Eukaryota; Metazoa; Chordata; Mammalia; Rodentia; Muridae. The record is from RNAcentral.